Long non-coding RNA from Zingiber officinale, 1210 nucleotides. RefSeq lists it as uncharacterized. The transcript is spliced from 2 exons. NCBI's taxonomy places the organism in Eukaryota, Viridiplantae, Streptophyta, Magnoliopsida, Zingiberales, Zingiberaceae. The record is from RefSeq and is a predicted model, not a curated record.
CGAUUCCUCCACGUUCAGCUCCGCGUCCCGGCGUCUUUCUUCAGGAUUUCGGCCCCAUCCUCCUUCAGAUCUACUUCUCUUCGAGUCUAAUUGGCUUUGGAGCUUCCAUUCUUUUGCUUCUAGGCUCGGAUCUUUUGCAUGCGCCGGCGAACAUCUCUCCGGAGCUCAGAUCUAUUCGUAUGUCCUCUGUUUCAGCCAUCAUCGGGGGAAUUCUUCGGUGAUAGUGGCUUGCUCUCUAUCAGAGAGUAUCGAUCCAGAGAAAUCGGAUUCAAGAUUUGCGAAAUUUCGAGCUGUGCAGUGCCAAUCUUCGCCGGCUUUUCCAGGAAAGUUUUCUUGGUGCUGGAAGAGAUUGAAUUGAGUUGAAGUUUUCAUUCAAUUAGCUUGUGUUGUAGCAAGGGAAGACUUGUUAGAGGAGUAGUUUUGAUUGGAGAUGGCUUAGAGUUUAGUUGUGCAGUUUAUAGUUUCUGCGUUUUUGUUUCCUUUAGAUGUUGUCAUUGAAUUCAUUGUUUCUUUAAUUCUGAACUAUAUAGUUCUAGUUUUGUUUCCUUAGUUAUCUUUUGUGCAAGUUAAUUCUGUUUUCUUUCUUGUUUUUACAGCUAGAGUUUUGCAUUUCUAUGCUACAGUUAUUCUUCUUGCAAUUCCAGUUUCGAAUUAAACUUUCUGCACAUGUCAUUUUCUGCAGUUUAGGUCUGAUGAAUUCCUUUAAGUUGCAAAAUUACAGAAUCCUCGUGUGGUAAACUACUUGAUUUUGAUCCAGAAAUUGAAAGGACCUUCAGAGCUUUGAGAAUUCAAGAGAACAUUUCAGAGGACUCAGGAAGUUCUUUAUCAUCUUCAGAUACCCCUAUGGCUGAUCAUAGCAGAACAAUGAAGGAGCUUGCAGCUCCUGAUGAGGCUUUCAAAUAUUCUUGCAUUACAUAUCCAGAUUUGGCAGGAGACUUCGAGCUUAGAUCUGGAUUGAUUCAUUUGCUGCCAAAAUAUCAAGGAUUAUCUGGAGAAGACCCAAAUAGACAUUUGCAUGAAUUCCAUGUGGUAUGUUCAACCAUGAAGCCACAAGGAAUCUCAGAAGAAGAUAUCAAGCUGAGGGCUUUUCCAUUUUCAUUGACUGGAGUAGCAAAAGAUUGGUUGUAUUAUUUGCCACCAUGAUACAUUACUUCUUGGAUAGAUAUGAAGAAGGCUUUCUUGGAGAAAUUCUUUCCAGCUUCAAGAACUG